Molecule: ribosomal RNA, 386 nt
Filed under: uncultured eukaryote
Lineage: Eukaryota
Description: partial 18S ribosomal RNA
Rfam family: Eukaryotic small subunit ribosomal RNA
Source: RNAcentral
CAAUAGCGUAUAUUAAAGUUGUUGCAGUUAAAAAGCUCGUAGUUGGAUUUCUGGACGGAGCAGCCGGUCCGCCGCUGUGCGGUGUGUACUCGUGCUUGACUCGGUUCAUCCUUGUGGGGAAGCGCAUUUCGGCAUUCAGUUGUCGAGGCGGGGAACCACAUCAUUUACUGUGAAAAAAUUUGAGUGUUUAAAGCAGGCAUUUUGCUGUGAAUACAUUAGCAUGGAAUAAUAACAUAGGACUUUGAUUCUAUUUUGUUGGUUGGAGAUCAAGGUAAUGAUUAAUAGGGAUAGUUGGGGGUAUUCAUAUUUAAUUGUCAGAGGUGAAAUUCUUGGAUUUAUGAAAGAUGAACUCAUGCGAAAGCAUUUACCAAGGAUGUUUUCAUUAA